Molecule: ribosomal RNA, 253 nt
Filed under: uncultured bacterium
Lineage: Bacteria
Description: partial 16S ribosomal RNA
Rfam family: Bacterial small subunit ribosomal RNA
Source: RNAcentral
UACGUAUGUCGCAAGCGUUAUCCGGAAUUAUUGGGCAUAAAGGGCAUCUAGGCGGCUAGAUAAGUCUGGGGUGAAAACCUGCGGCUCAACCUGAAGCCUGCCUUGGAAACUAUGUAGCUAGAGUACUGGAGAGGUGGGCGGAAUUGCACGAGUAGAGGUGAAAUUCGUAGAUAUGUGCAGGAAUGCCGAUGGUGAAGAUAGUUCACUGGAUGGUAACUGACGCUGAAGUGCGAAAGCUUGGGGAGCAAACAGG